This is a long non-coding RNA of Cervus hanglu yarkandensis (Yarkand deer), 3783 nucleotides long. The record is from Ensembl. NCBI's taxonomy places the organism in Eukaryota, Metazoa, Chordata, Mammalia, Artiodactyla, Cervidae.
AUGGCGGCGUUGGCCUCAAAGAGACCUUUGCGCCUGUGCAAGUGCCUCCCCAGCGAGCUUUCAAGUGCUGGAAGUUGGACUUCCGCCAGACUGGCUUUUGGGCCCACUUCUGCGAGAACGCAUGCGCUGAAUGUAUACGUGUUCCGUCUGGCCCCGAGGCGCGUUUACAUGCUCGUUCCGGAUUGGCCCGUUACUAGGCCGUAUCUGUAUGCGCGCGCGCCACCUUCGCUGACCCGGAAGUUCUCGCCUCAGUUAAAGGCCUCAGCCCGCGGUGCGCGGCCUCUUCCUGUCUGUGCCUGGUCGGCGCGUGGUCUACGACGAACGAUCGAGACACCUAGGCUGUGCCUUCAGGUGAGGUUGUCGCGGAGUAGGGGGUCCGAGGGGCGACCCUGGGUCUCCCGGAAGCUGUGGGUGCGCCCCGCCCCCGGGGCCUUUCCUCGUGCGGUUGACCUGACGGAGGCGCGAGGAAAGUUUCUCUUGCUGUCUCGCUUCAGCUCCGCCGCCGCUGUAGCCUUGCCUCGCGGCGUACUGGGGAAGUUGCUCGCGGUUGCCUUGGUCUCUGCAGUUGUACUUUAUUUACGAUGACGGAGUGGGAAACAGCUGCACCUGCAGUAGCAGAGACCCCCGACAUCAAGCUCUUUGGGAAGUGGAGCACCGACGACGUGCAGAUCAAUGACAUUUCCCUGCAGGUAAGGAGGGUGUAACGAUUGUGCUCCCUGGCUGGGGGCGGGGUUACUUGAAACUUGUAGCCUUCCUGCCAAGUAGAGUUGAAGGUGGCACAGGUAAAGGAGGGAUUCCUGGACCACCACACCCACCAUAUCUGUUUUUCUUUGUAUCCUGUUAGAGGUUGCUACAGUUUUUCUCAGGAGAUGGUUCCUUCCACAGUAAUUAUCACAUCGCACAGGUGGUUUAGUUUUUUUUGUGUGUUGUAGUGAAAUAUAUAGAAAGUUUAUUUUUUAGUUUUAUACAUUUUGUUUUUUAAAUGUGUUUCUUAUUUUACUCAAGUAUUGAAAAUAGCAAAGGCAAUACUAUUUUAUUCAGGCUAUAACAUUUGAAUUAUAUGUUUUAGAAUUAAAUAAAAAUGGGCAGUAUUCAUCAAGUCCAGAAGUUGUGCCCUGGAGAGAAGAGUCAAAUUACAGAGAUUCAAAUGCCUGAAAAUCUAAACACUUUCCAGUUGUCCCUCAGUGUCUGAGGGGAUGUUGGUUCCAGGAGCCCCAAGUUUACUAAAACCCUCAGGUGCUCACGUCCCUUCAUGUGCACAGGUAUUUGAAGUGUACGAGCCCCAAAUUAUUAUUUUGUGUGAGGAAAUCCAAUUGUCUCAGCACAUGUGAUUUUUGUCUUUUGGAGUUUUGUGCAUCUUAACAAAUUUAGGCCAUAAAAUGUUAUUUAAAUCUCAUUUAUAUGGUAUAUGUAUGUAUCCCGGCACCAUUUGUUGAAGGGACUGUUUAUCCCAUUGAAUAGUCUUGGCACCGUUGUUGAAUAUCAAUUCAGCAAAGAUGUAAGGGUUUAUUUCUGGAUUCUGAACUCUUAUUUCAUUGGUCUCUAUGCCCCCCCCCCUUUUAUUUUUGGUGCCAGUAUCACAGUCUUGAUUACUAUAGCUUUGUAAGAAGUUUUGAAAUUGGUAAAUGGGAGUUCUCCACUGCAGUGUUGCCCCCACACUGUUUUACACUUGGGCUCAUUAGGACAUUUGUGGGGUCUUUAUAAAAAGAAUUUAUGUUUUGUGACUGCAUUGGUAUUGUUCGGGCGCUAAGUUAUGUCUGACUGUGACCCCAUGAACUGCAGCACAUCAGGCUUCCCUGUUCUUCACUAUCUGUCGGAGUUUCCUCAAACUCACGUCCAUUGUGUUGCCAUCCAACCAGCAUUACUAUUUGUUACUUCUAUGCAAUGCGGGGAACCCGGGUUUGAUUUCUGCACUGGGAAGAUCGGCUGGAGAAGGGAUAGGUUACCCACUCCAGUAUUCUGGCCUGGAGAAUUCCAUGGACUGUAUAGUUCAUGGGGUCGCAAAGAUUUGGACACAACUGAGCAACUUUGACUUUUCAUGUAAAUCACAGUAACUAGGCACUGAGCCCAGUGGAGAAUUCAAAUCUGGUUUUCACUCUGAGUGUCUUCUAGAGCUGUUUUCCUUCACAGGUUUGUUGGAGGAGGUUUGCAAGCUUAAAACGGCCAGAUACUAAGUGUUUUAGUCUUGGCAGGUCCCAUGAUGGUCUGUCACAUGUGUGUUUGCCUCUUUGUGUUUUUUUUUUCCCUUCUUGCUUUUUUUGGUACAAAACUUUAAUAAUGUAAAAACAAUUUUUCACUUUUUCCUGGUGUUCUUCAAGAGGCUGGGGAAGCAGAAGUCAGCAUGGUAUCAAAAUUCUCACUAUCAAAAGUGUACUGGACUCUACCAUGGGGCCCAGCAACAUAACCAAAUGCUUGCUGGGGUGUUUGGUAUUCACAGUUUUUUCUUGCACAGUGCGAGUCCCUGCAUGUACACCCAUCUGUAUACUUCUGUUUGUGCAAAUGGUUCUCUCCAGAGGAGACUCCAGUCUGUCAUGCCUAUGUCAGAAUCCUGUAUUCUUUCCUGUCAAUCCUUGGUUUUGUAGAAACUCAUUGUUUGUAAAUGUUCUUGUUUGUUUGUGGUAGAGUGACUUUUAUGUAGGGUUCAUCCUGGAAAUAGGUCAGAAGUAAUCCUUUUCAGGUACAUAGAGUUCCUCUGACUCAGCCCCUCCCCCAACGAUUUAGUGUUUACUAGAUAUUGUCUUGGGACAUGUAUGUUUUCAUAGGCAAGAUUGUUGAAUGAUUCUUUUAAAACAGUGGUUCUCUGGGAUGGUUCCCCCAUCAGCCCUUUAAGGAACAUUAGGCAAUGUCUGGGCACAUGUUUGGGUCAGUGAAGAGUGAAGAACACUUUUAAAAGAAAACUGGGGUUGUGGGCCAUCAUCUCCUUAGUUCUCCACAUCCUUCCUCCCAUUGUUAAGAAAGUACUCUUUUUAGUGAGCUGGUAAAGUCACUUUGUUGUUCAGUUGCUAACUCACAUCAGUCAGUUCAGUUGCGUCCGACUCUUUGCAAACCCGUGGACUGCAGCACGCCAGGCUUCCCUCUUUUUCACUGUCUCCUGGAAUUUGUUCAGAUUCAUGUCCAUUGACCAUGCCAUCCAACCAUCUCAUCCUCUGUCGCCCCCUUCUCCCGCCUUCAGUCUUUCCCAGCAUGAGGGUCUUUUUCUGGUGAGUCAGUUCUUUGCAUCAGGUGGCCAAAGUAUUGGAGCUUCAGCAUCAGUCCUUCCAAUGAAUAUUCAGGGUUGAUUUCCUUUAGGAUAGAUUGGUUGGAUCUCCUUGCAGUCCAAGGGACUCUCAAGAGUCUUCUCCAAUACCACAGUUCAAAAGCAUCAGUUCUUCAGCGCUCAGCUUUCUUUAUGGUCCAACUCUCACAUCUGUACAUGACUACUGGAAAAACCAUAGCUUUAACUAGGCAGACCUUAGUUGGCAAAGUGAUGUCUCUUUAAUACUCUGUCUAGGUUGUCAUAGCUUUCCUUCCAAGGGUCACUUGCUUAGAUUUUAUUCUUUGUGGCAGGCAGGGGCUCACAUCCAAAGCCCCACAGGUGGGUGGGGGCUCCCGUAAGCGGGUGUUGGGUCCCUCUGGUACCCUCGGAUGUCCAUCCUGCUCUUGAGUGAGCUUCUUCUGCUGCUCCAGGAUUACAUUGCUGUCAAGGAGAAGUACGCCAAGUACCUGCCCCACAGCGCGGGCCGCUAUGCGGCCAAGCGCUUCCGCAAGGCACAGUGCCCCAUCGUGGAACGCCUCACCAACUCC